CGUCUGAAGGAUUUUGACAUAAUUACAAGUUUGCCCUAGGGUCGACCCUGGGGGUCGACUCAUGGCACAGAGAAAUUCAAAAAAAUGAUGAAAUAAUUUCAAAAAAAUUUGAAACUUUAGGAGAAAGAUGUUUACCCAAAUAUUGAUCAUGUGAAUGAUAAUUUAAGCUUUUGAGCUCAAAACAAAAAGAAAAUUAAGCUCUCAAAAAUUGAAUCAAUAAAUUUUUGGCAUUAAAAAUUUGGAAUCAGAGAGAUACUUAAGCUGAUGGAUCAAGGAUUCCUAAUUUUCUUCU
RNAcentral lists this long non-coding RNA (292 nucleotides) under Elaeis guineensis (African oil palm). RNAcentral describes it as "long non-coding RNA (EGUI_LNC059049)". Lineage: Eukaryota; Viridiplantae; Streptophyta; Magnoliopsida; Arecales; Arecaceae. The record is from RNAcentral.